RNAcentral lists this long non-coding RNA (814 nucleotides) under Equus caballus (horse). RNAcentral's name for it is "lncRNA (ENSECAG00000053241.1)". The record is from RNAcentral. Lineage: Eukaryota; Metazoa; Chordata; Mammalia; Perissodactyla; Equidae.
GCAAUAAAGGUGCUUGCCACAGUUCCCCGCUCCUUCUGCCACGGGACCAGCCUCAGGGACCUGCAGCCGAGCGGCUGGCUCUGCACGUCAUGCCGUGUUCCCCCCAUGAGAACCAUGGAGGAAAAGAAACCAGAUUUAUACUCGUUCCUGAAACAACCACAAAAAAAGGACAAAAUAUUUGAAAAAAUUGGACAAGAAACUGGAAAUCAUAAAAUGAAGGACUGUGAUAUCUAAGGGACAAGAAACAAGUGAGGUAAGCCUUAAACUUGUCACAGUUUAUGGUGUGGAGAGAUGCAAAGCCAAAGGCGUGAUAAUCUCUGAGGACCCUCUGGGCUGGGGAGACGGAGGCGGACGCCCAGGGAGACGGAGGUGCCAGAGAUGGCAGAAUAGAGCAAAAGAGCAAAUUGUAGACAAAUAGAACACAAAAUUUAAAGUUGAUUCCAGUUACAGCCGAAUCAAGAACAACAAAUAAUUAGGAAUAAAUCUAAAGAAAAAGGUAUACUUAAUUAUUCCCUGUAAACUAACAUGUACUACUGAGAAAUUUUAAAGAAUGCCCAAAUAAAUGGAAAGACAGACCAUAUUCGCUAAUUGGAAGACUCAAUAUUGUCAAGAUGUCAAGGCUGCUGCUUCACUAUCACCAGAAUGACUAAAAAAAGAAAAAAGAAAAAUCGACACUUCCAGGUGUUGGUGAGAGUGUGGAGCAAUGAAACCUCACGCGCUGCUGUUUCUUUCAUUUAACUCUUUAAUCCCUCUGGAGUCACUUUUGAUGGAGAAGCCUGGUGAGGAGUGAUCAUCGAACUACAUACAUAUUCUC